UACGUAGGGUGCGAGCGUUGUCCGGAAUUAUUGGGCGUAAAGAGCUUGUAGGCGGUCUGUCGCGUCUGCUGUGAAAAUCCGGGGCUCAACCCCGGACUUGCAGUGGGUACGGGCAGACUAGAGUGUGGUAGGGGAGACUGGAAUUCCCAGUGUAGCGGUGAAAUGCGUAGAUAUUGGGAGGAACACCGGUGGCGAAGGCGGCAUCCUGGACCAAUUCUGACACUGAGGAGCGAAAGCCAGGGGAGCAAACGGG
This 253-nucleotide ribosomal RNA is filed under the name uncultured bacterium. RNAcentral describes it as "partial 16S ribosomal RNA". It matches the Rfam family "Bacterial small subunit ribosomal RNA", at positions 524 to 776 of the family's 1533-position model. The record is from RNAcentral.